UGGCCAGUAGCUCAAGUGGUAGAGCACCUGCUACAUAUCCAAAAGGCCUGGGUUCAACUCCAGUCUGGUCCA
Non-coding RNA from Russula brevipes, 72 nucleotides. The record is from the annotation of a GenBank genome assembly. NCBI's taxonomy places the organism in Eukaryota, Fungi, Basidiomycota, Agaricomycetes, Russulales, Russulaceae.